AUUGGACGCUGGCGGCAUGCUUUACACAUGCAAGUCGGACGGCAGCACAGAGAAGCUUGCUUCUUGGGUGGCGAGUGGCGAACGGGUGAGUAAUAUAUCGGAACGUACCGAGUAAUGGGGGAUAACUAAUCGAAAGAUUAGCUAAUACCGCAUAUUCUCUGAGGAGGAAAGCAGGGGACCUUCGGGCCUUGCGUUAUUCGAGCGGCCGAUAUCUGAUUAGCUAGUUGGUGGGGUAAAGGCCUACCAAGGCGACGAUCAGUAGCGGGUCUGAGAGGAUGAUCCGCCACACUGGGACUGAGACACGGCCCAGACUCCUACGGGAGGCAGCAGUGGGGAAUUUUGGACAAUGGGCGCAAGCCUGAUCCAGCCAUGCCGCGUGUCUGAAGAAGGCCUUCGGGUUGUAAAGGACUUUUGUCAGGGAAGAAAAGGCUGUUGCUAAUACCGACAGCUGAUGACGGUACCUGAAGAAUAAGCACCGGCUAACUACGUG
RNAcentral lists this ribosomal RNA (490 nucleotides) under uncultured bacterium. RNAcentral describes it as "partial 16S ribosomal RNA". It matches the Rfam family "Bacterial small subunit ribosomal RNA", at positions 30 to 507 of the family's 1533-position model. The record is from RNAcentral.